RNAcentral lists this ribosomal RNA (254 nucleotides) under uncultured bacterium. RNAcentral's name for it is "partial 16S ribosomal RNA". It matches the Rfam family "Bacterial small subunit ribosomal RNA", at positions 524 to 776 of the family's 1533-position model. The record is from RNAcentral.
UACGUAGGGGGCAAGCGUUGUCCGGAUUCAUUGGGCGUAAAGAGCUCGUAGGCGGCUUGGCAAGUCGGGUGUGAAAACUUCAGGCUCAACCUGGAGCGGCCACUCGAUACUGCCAUGGCUAGAGUCCGGUAGGGGACCACGGAAUUCCUGGUGUAGCGGUGAAAUGCGCAGAUACCAGGAGGAACACCGGUGGCGAAGGCGGUGGUCUGGGCCGGAACUGACGCUGAGGAGCGAAAGCGUGGGGAGCGAACAGG